GUUGUAUGUGUUUUAUCAAGGCCAACCCCAUCAUUCCCCAGCUCUUGUGGCCUUGCCGAAGGCUCUGAGGUCACAGGUCCCUUCUUCAAGCUAGAGCCCUCGGAGCAGAGUAAUGGCUGUUUCCUGGCCAUUCUCACCAGAGAGCCUGAGCCAGAGGUUGUGGAAACGCCACAGGACGUGCUAGCCAGGGCAAAUGCCAAGGGCCUGCUGGACAGGAUCGGUUGCAAUCAACCAGCCAGAAAAGAACGGCAUGGAAACACCAACCGGAUGACAAAAGGAAACCGUGCUUGCCCUUCUCAGUCUCAGCCCUCCAUCAGUACCCAGUCCAGAGUCGAUCAACUGCGCAACAGAGAGGCUAAGGGCAGCGGCUCUUCACAGUUUGCUAGUAGGCAACUGUCACCACAAGCCAGUAUUUCCUUGCCAGCUGCAAAGAACACUGCCUUCAGUCCCACACCUUGUACGAUUAUCAGCCAGGUAAACAAAACUGCGAGGAAUGGAACCCGGCUUGCCAGCACAUCCACAUCCAGCACCCGCUCCACCCUGCAUCCUGCCACUGCUGCCCCUGUUGGCCGUUCUCCUAGGGGCCGUCAAGAGGUGCUGAGGCCUGUGGCGCUCACUCUGCCUUCCAUUAACUUCCCCAGCUUCUCCCAACCCCCAGAGUCCAACACCAUCUAUAGUUAUGCA
Molecule: long non-coding RNA, 684 nt
Filed under: Myripristis murdjan (pinecone soldierfish)
Lineage: Eukaryota; Metazoa; Chordata; Actinopteri; Holocentriformes; Holocentridae
Description: lncRNA (ENSMMDG00005002395.1)
Source: RNAcentral